AUUUUUAUAGCUUAUAUAAAAGAGCACUACGUUGAAGUUGUAGGGGAAGACUGAGUCUUGAAAAUG
RNAcentral lists this transfer RNA (66 nucleotides) under Folsomia candida. RNAcentral's name for it is "tRNA-Phe". Lineage: Eukaryota; Metazoa; Arthropoda; Collembola; Entomobryomorpha; Isotomidae. The record is from RNAcentral.